Molecule: ribosomal RNA, 472 nt
Filed under: uncultured bacterium
Lineage: Bacteria
Description: bacterial SSU rRNA
Rfam family: Bacterial small subunit ribosomal RNA
Source: RNAcentral
UGGGGAAUAUUGGACAAUGGGCGAAAGCCUGAUCCAGCCAUGCCGCGUGUGUGAAGAAGGUCUUCGGAUUGUAAAGCACUUUAAGUUGGGAGGAAGGGCCAUUACCUAAUACGUGAUGGUUUUGACGUUACCGACAGAAUAAGCACCGGCUAACUCUGUGCCAGCAGCCGCGGUAAUACAGAGGGUGCAAGCGUUAAUCGGAAUUACUGGGCGUAAAGCGCGCGUAGGUGGUUUGUUAAGUUGGAUGUGAAAUCCCCGGGCUCAACCUGGGAACUGCAUUCAAAACUGACUGACUAGAGUAUGGUAGAGGGUGGUGGAAUUUCCUGUGUAGCGGUGAAAUGCGUAGAUAUAGGAAGGAACACCAGUGGCGAAGGCGGCCAUCUGGGAAGAUACUGACGCUGAGACGCGAAAGCGUGGGGAGCAAACAGGAUUAGAUACCCCCGUAGUCCCUGAGCGGGCUGGCAAGGCGCAU